Cloeon dipterum is the source of this 312-nucleotide long non-coding RNA. RefSeq lists it as uncharacterized. The record is from RefSeq and is a predicted model, not a curated record. The transcript has 3 exons. Lineage: Eukaryota; Metazoa; Arthropoda; Insecta; Ephemeroptera; Baetidae.
ACAACCACAACAACCAUGGUAUUUUCAAUUAUUUUCACUCUACACCUGUUCCCAUUUGAUUUAGACAACAAAUAAAUUUCAUUUUACAGAGACCGGCAGUGUGUCCAACAAUUAACUGCACCGUGGAUAUCAGUAAACAGAACGAAGUAAAAAACUUCACGGCUGUCAAUCCGUACGGGGUUCUGCUCUCUGUUGGCUGGGUGAUUAUGGCGUGCAACAAGAAGUACGUCCACUCAGAAAUUACCGUAAGUUUACCUUUUAGCCGGUUAUAUAAUGAUUAAAAACACUUGGUGCCGUGGAAAUAUAUGUUGC